GCACUCUGGAGAGUUCCGCAGACACACAGCGGACGCCGAAGGUGUACGGAGCAUAAUGCUCUAAUCUCUCAGGCAAAAGGACAGAGGA
Molecule: non-coding RNA, 88 nt
Filed under: Candidatus Neoanaerotignum galli
Lineage: Bacteria; Bacillati; Bacillota; Clostridia
Description: Glycine riboswitch
Rfam family: Glycine riboswitch aptamer
About the family: This family represents the bacterial glycine riboswitch. Glycine riboswitches usually consist of two metabolite-binding aptamers domains with similar structures in tandem.
Source: RNAcentral